Molecule: non-coding RNA, 86 nt
Filed under: Denitratisoma oestradiolicum
Lineage: Bacteria; Pseudomonadati; Pseudomonadota; Betaproteobacteria; Nitrosomonadales; Sterolibacteriaceae
Description: c-di-GMP-I riboswitch aptamer
Rfam family: c-di-GMP-I riboswitch aptamer
About the family: GEMM was predicted in a large-scale screen for bacterial structured RNA regulatory elements.
Source: Rfam by way of RNAcentral
UCGCUUCCACCGCAAACCCGGCGAAAGCCGGUGACGCAAAGCUACAGGGGCUAAGGGGCAGUGUCCCACGCCAGCCAGCUGCCGGU